This 381-nucleotide ribosomal RNA is filed under the name uncultured bacterium. Its description in RNAcentral is "bacterial SSU rRNA". It matches the Rfam family "Bacterial small subunit ribosomal RNA", at positions 29 to 414 of the family's 1533-position model. The record is from RNAcentral.
AACGAACGUUAGCGGCGCGCUUAACACAUGCAAGUCGAGCGCGAAAGGCCUUCGGGCUGAGUAGAGCGGCGGACGGGUGAGUAACGCGUAGGAAUCUACCUGGUAGUGGGGGACAACUUGGGGAAACUCAAGCUAAUACCGCAUACGCCCUAUGGGGGAAAGUGGGGGACCUUCGGGCCUCACGCUAUCAGAUGAGCCUGCGUAGGAUUAGCUAGUUGGUGAGGUAAAGGCUCACCAAGGCGACGAUCCUUAGCUGGUCUGAGAGGAUGAUCAGCCACACUGGGACUGAGACACGGCCCAGACUCCUACGGGAGGCAGCAGUGGGGAAUAUUGCGCAAUGGGGGCAACCCUGACGCAGCCAUGCCGCGUGUGUGAAGAAGG